Heterocephalus glaber (naked mole-rat) is the source of this 4717-nucleotide long non-coding RNA. Lineage: Eukaryota; Metazoa; Chordata; Mammalia; Rodentia; Bathyergidae. The record is from Ensembl.
CAGGGAAGCUCAGCUUGGCUGAAGCUGGAGCAGCGGGGGCCGCAAUGACCAACCAGCCACUCAGCAGCCAGCACAGCCUGCGUCCAGUGAGGUCUGGUGUUGGCAGGUGCAGAGUGUGCAGGCCUUCCUUUCCUAGGAGAAGGUGGGUCCCUCGGCCACGACGUGGCUGGGUCUCAGCGCGGAGCCAUCUUGGGCCUGGCCUGGGAGCUGCCGGGUCCACAGGCUGCAUCUUCAAGCCAGGCAGAUUCAGGCUCCCAGAGGGGUCCCAUCCGUUGUCCACCUGGCAAAAGGACCUUCUAGAAAGUUCUUUCUCAAAGGGGAACUGACAUUCCUGCCCUACUUUGUUCCAAGAUGGGAGCUGUGGUCUCAGAGGUAGGUGUGGAAAACCCAGAGUGGGGCUGCCUCUGUCUCUGCUCAAGGAUUUCUAGUUUGCUCAUGGAAGGGCUUGGUUUUGUCAGCAGCUGUGGCCUGGAUCGACCCUGUGGUCAGAGAUUGCCCAAAGCCCGCAGGCUGGUGACAGUCAGUGUGUGGCAGGAGCAGGAAAGUGAGCUAUUUCUCAGCUGCCCAUUUCUGGGGCGCCACCUUGGAGCUGGGGGGCGCUGGUACUUGGGGUGAGGCCCAAAGUUGAUUCUGAAGGGUUCUUAAAUGCCGAGCAGCAGGGUGGCAAUGUCCAGCCACACAGACAACCCAGUCUGGUCACGUUUGGCCUACACUCUGGGCCAGGCACACCCGGCCUCAGCCUGCACCUGGCUUGCUUGGACAGUUUCAAGUUCAGGAGCUGAUACUGGUGGUGGCAGCCAGCUUCAUUUUCUUUGAGGCAGUAUAUAAAGUUCAUUGUUUCCCUUAUUCCUGAUGAACAAAACUUUUAAGAUGUAAGAAUACAGUAUUUUGAGUAAUCCACUGUGAGCAUUACAGGCUUUUUUUCAGGAUGAGCAUCUGGAAAAAUAAAUAGGUUUUGUUCUGUUUUGUUUUUCCAGUAACUCAGAUAAAAUGUUAGCACAGUUGGCAGCUUCCUGAAUUAGGCAAAGUAAGUUUUGCAUUUAUGAAAAUGAAACUCAACCAUAAAACAUGGACACAGUCCACUGUUAAUUUUCAGACAUUUUCAUAAUUUGCAAGUACCUUAUUUGCAAAAUUGGUUUUUCGGGAGCUUUAGAGUCCUCAGGGCUGGGUGAGCCGUUCUGAGGAGGCUCCUGGCCCCUCCAUCAGGCGGGUGGACCUGGGCUGUGCCCUGCGCACGGCCAAGGAGGGACGCUGUGGCCCUUGGGCGAAAUGGCGGCUGUGCCUCGAAGACACGUAGCUGCAGCGGAAGCUAAGAGGCUUGAGCACCGAGCCAAGCCUGCCGCCACCACCACCCCCCGCCCCCUGCGGCCUCUGGCGUCUGGGUCUGGCUGAUCCGAGCAGGCAGGAAAGGUUGGGUUUCAGCGCUUUGUUCUCUGGGCGGCCUGGCCAUUGAUUAAGGCCCGUUGGGCAGGUUAACCAGCCACCCACUUUUUCGCACCGGGAUUGCAUUCCUGGCCAGGCCCCCAACCUCCUCCCAGACGGGGCUGAGCUAGGCGCCCUGGGGGGUGUUUGCUCUACUGGGCAGCCUGGGGCCUCUGGGCCGCUUCGAGCCUUUCCUCGAUUUUCCCAAGCGAGCCUGGUGGAAGGUGCCUCGCCCAGGAGAGGAGCCUGCUGCUCCAGAGAGGAGCCUGUUUUCAGUUUUCAUUUCCCCACUGUGGCUGAGGCUCACACUGUUGUCAUCCCUCCCCUGCCCCCGUGCCAGGAGAAGCCAGGGUCCCCUGCUGAGCUGUGCUCUGGGCAGAGAUGCAUCUCCCAUCCCUGCCUUGGAGUGUGGAGGACUGACACUCCUGCCCUCUGCGCCAGGCCUGUGCUCAUCUAUACUUCUCUCAGCCUACCGCCCAGGCGAGGCUCCUGACUGCCCAGUGGGCAGUGCAUCACCCUGGCCUGUCCCUUGGCUGUAGCCAGACCAGCUUUGGGCCCUAUAGGGUCCCCCAGCCCUCAGGGCUCCCCAAGACGUCCUGCUCCUGAGUGGCCAAGGGCAUUGGAGACACUAGGCCCCCCCGAGCGGUGGGAGGUGGCCUGUCGGCCAAGCAUGCUGGGGAAUGUGCUUGACCCAGCCUGGAGGGUUGGAUGCUGGGCUCUGCCCACGCCCCACUCAGCCCUGCAGCCUCCCCUGUGGCCUGGCCACCAGGCAGAGGAGCUGAAAUUUCACUCAGCUCUGAAAGGGAAGCCUUAGCUCAGAAAACAAGUGAAAUUGCAACCUCAAAGCACAGAUUUGACAGGGUCAGAGGGACAGGUGUGUAACUUGGAAGGAAGGGGGCACAUCCUGUGGUGUCUGCGGGUACAGGGCUACAGGGCAGGGACCCAGGGGUGGCAGGGACUCUGAGCCAGGACAGCCUGUGGAGGUCCAUGUGCCUGAAAUAUGUCCGGCCACACCUGCCGGGCUGAGCCAGGCAAGGGCAGGUGUGCAAAAUGCUGGCCGUGGGGAGUGGGGAAAGACCAGGCCGCCCUGGCCCUUCCUGUGGUCGGCUGGCAGCUGGUGGAAUCAGCGCAGCCUGCACCCCUUAGUAGACACUGCAGGAGGAAGAUGCUUGGACCCUACCCAGCCCCUCUCCAAGCCCAGGCUGCCAUGAGGUAGGAGAGAAAGGAGCAGAGCAGGGUCUGAGAGGUCAGAGUGCCAGGAGACUCUCCCCGGGCAGCUGCCCAGGCCUCUCGGCUCCAGGAGGGGCUGUAGGCUGGUCACUGAGCACAUGGGUGCUUCAGAGCAGCCCUUUCUGAAUAGCCUUGUCCCCAUGGGCCCCUGGGCGGAGGGCUCUGUGUUCUGUGUGGGGCUGCUGUUCACCUGCUCCGGAGCAGGACUCCAGGCCUGGUGCCACUGGGAGAGGGACAGUGAGAGGAGAGCCGUCCUGCCUCUCGAGCUGGGUUGCUUGUGCCUUGCCCAGUGCCCUUCCUGGGCGCUGGAGAAGGGCAGGUGGGGCUGGGCAGGAAGCAGGCUCCAGACAGCGUCCUGGGGCAGAGGCCAGUGGUAUAGCCUGGCCAGCCUCAGACACGGGAGGUGCCAACCUGUGCUCACAAUGGGGCUCUGGGGCCUGGACCACGCCUCUCUCUGGGACCACCCUGAGGGAGGCUCUACCCACCCCUGCUCUCCUUCCUAUUCCUUGGGCCACCAGCCUCUGGGCGGGAUCCCCUGCCUCCCGGAGUGCCCAUCUGGGCCCACACAGUGACACUGGGGCUAGAGGGCAGUUCACUAUGGCCCCAGCCCCCGUGAGGCCUCAGGCACCUGGGACCCUGCCAAGCCCUUGCCCUGUGGGGCUGCCCCCCCGCCCCACCCAGGGCUCAGAGAAGAGACAGCUCCUCUCAGGCACCCGUCAGCCCCCACCCAAGCCCCAGCUGGCGGCCCCCAGACCAAUCUGGGCAGCCGUGGCCAUCUUACUGGGCAGCAUUGGAUGGUGUCUGGUCUCUAAUACUGCCUGGUAAUGAUGACGGCGGAGCCCUGCACGCAGCAACGGGGCCGCCUCCCCUCCGCUCCCACCCCACCCCCACCUGGAGCCCCACAACGCGCCCAUCCCUCCAUCCUGCCCACUGGCUUCUGGGUGGAGCCGCGGGACAGAAACUCGACCCUGGGAAGGAGACUGGAGCACGCCGCGCCCCAGCUCCUCUGAGGAGCACCCCAGCCUCCAGGAUGAAAGGCCUCCUGCAGCUGCUCCACCCCUCCCCCCAGCCAGUGUUCUGGGGAUUAGGACGCUCAGGUAUCCUGGCCCUGCCCAUGGCACCCAGGCAGGUGCUGCCACCACACCUGGCAGGUGUGGGCUGCGGAUACUGCAGCAAAGGGCUCUAAGGGUAAAGGCUCAGCAGGGCCCAUGGGUGGGGGUGGGGCACCCAGGCUGGGCCUUGCUCCCCUCCUGCUCCACCGUGGGGAGGCAGCUGUACCUCCAGCCUUGGUCCCAAGCCAGCACACAAGGUCCCCUGCUAGGGAAAACCAGGGAAGGCAGACAAGCGGCUUCAGGUCUCUGCUGGCCCCAUCCAGUCCAAGCCAUUCACUGCUCUGGGUCACCGGGCUCUGAGCCUAUGGGUGGAAAGCUACACUUCUGUCCCCUGCACCCCGUGCUGGGUGCACCUGGGCAUCUGUGGGCAUCUUAUCGGACAGUGCUGGAUUUCUCGGCUUGACUCUAACACUGUCUGGUAACGAUGUUCAAAGGUGACCCACUGCCCUCGAGAUCCCCCGAGGAUGUGCCAUCCCAAGUUCCUGGAUCCAGACGUAGGCAGGGCAGGGGUCCUGCAAUUCUGGGGGCACUCACCGAGGGGGCACCCCUGCCCAUCAUGCCAAGGCUGGCUAGGCUGGUUCUGCCACAUGAGGGGCCCCAUCCUGGAGCAGCCUCUGCCUACCCUUACCCCCACUCCUCCCAGGCUGGGUUUUGGGCUCAGCUAGUCCUGUAGAGCCAUCAGGCCCAGGACUGUGGGCUGGAGGAGGAGACUUUGGGCCUGUGGCCUCUCAGCAUUCAGGGCUGUGUAAGUGCCCUGUUCUGGGGACUGGGGAGGCCAGUGUGGUUCAGGCACCCUAGCGCCACACACAGAACUGAGGACGUCCCCCACUGUUUCCUGACCAAGGACAAGGAAUCUGCAUUCCCUCUGCCAGCCAAGGCGACCAGGAAAUUUGUCCAAAAUUACAAUCCAGGAGGACCCAGUUUAUUUUUUUGAUCUGAGACCAGGACACAGG